Molecule: ribosomal RNA, 484 nt
Filed under: uncultured bacterium
Lineage: Bacteria
Description: partial 16S ribosomal RNA
Rfam family: Bacterial small subunit ribosomal RNA
Source: RNAcentral
AUUGAACGCUGGCGGCAGGCCUAACACAUGCAAGUCGAGCGGAUGAAGGUAGCUUGCUCCUGGAUUCAGCGGCGGACGGGUGUGUAAUGCCUAGGAAUCUGCCUGGUAGUGGGGGAUAACGUCCGUAAACGGGCGCUAAUACCGCAUACGUCCUGAGUGUGAAAGUUGGGGAUCUUCGGACCUCACGCUUUCAGAUUAGCCUAGGUCGGAUUAGCUAGUUGGUGUGGUAAAGGCCUACCAAGGCGACUAUCCGUAACUGGUCUGAGAGGAUGAUCAGUCAAACUGGGAGUGAGAAACGGACCAGACGCCUACGGGAGGCAGCAGUGGGGAAUAUUGGACAAUGGGCGAAAGCAUGAUAGAGCAAGGCCGAGUGUGAGAAGAAGGUCUUCGGAUUGUAAAGAACUUUAAGUUGGGAGGAAGGGAAGUAAGUUAAUAAAUUGCUGUAUUGACGUUAACAAAAGAAUAAGCACCGGCUAACUUCGUG